AUUGAACGCUGGCGGCGUGCCUAACACAUGCAAGUCGAGCGGUAACAGGUGUAGCAAUACAUGCUGACGAGCGGCGAACGGGUGAGUAAUGCUUCGGAAUCUACCCAAUGGUGGGGAAUAACCAGCCGAAAGGUUGGCUAAUACCGCAUACGUCCCACGGGAGAAAGCAGGGGAUCGCAAGACCUUGCGCCAAUGGAUGAGCCGAAGUCGGAUUAGCUAGUUGGAGGGUAACGGCCUACCAAGGCGACGAUCCGUAGCUGGUCUGAGAGGACGACCAGCCACACUGGGACUGAGACACGGCCCAGACUCCUACGGGAGGCAGCAGUGGGGAAUAUUGGACAAUGGGGGAAACCCUGAUCCAGCGACGCCGCGUGUGUGAAGAAGGCCUGCGGGGUUGUAAAGCACUUUUAGUGGGGAUGAAAUGCUCAGGGUUAACACCUCUGGAUUUUGACCUAACCCACAGAAAAGCACCGGCUAACUCUGUGCCAGCAGCCGCAGUAAC
Molecule: ribosomal RNA, 502 nt
Filed under: uncultured bacterium
Lineage: Bacteria
Description: bacterial SSU rRNA
Rfam family: Bacterial small subunit ribosomal RNA
Source: RNAcentral